UAGCUUGUUUACCUUCAUGGGAUCAAAAAUUGGUUGUCCUUGAUUUUCAAGACCAUUUACAAUUUCUGUAAAACGGCUAAACAUGUCAGUUAUAGAUUCUCCAGGUCUCAUUUUGAAGGCUUCAUAUUGACCGAGAAGGAUGUUGAUUCUGGUCUCUUUUACUCGAUCAGUUCCUUCAUAGGUGAUGUGUAACCUAUCCCAGACUUCUUUUGCUGUAACACAAGAAGAUAUUCUGUUAUAUUCAGUAGGUGACAAGGCACAAUAUAAAGAAUAUAUAGCUUUUGCAUCAAGAGUUUGUCUCUUGAUUAUCUCUUCUUGAGACAUUCCGCUGGUCUCAACAGUUUCUUUCCCUCUUUCUAAGAUGGAUGCAACUUUAGGAGUGAUUCCUUUUUCUACAACGUCCCAUUCCAGAGGAUCCUUUGAUCGAAGAAAUGC
Molecule: long non-coding RNA, 435 nt
Filed under: Eucalyptus grandis
Lineage: Eukaryota; Viridiplantae; Streptophyta; Magnoliopsida; Myrtales; Myrtaceae
Description: long non-coding RNA (EGRA_LNC005376)
Source: RNAcentral